UACGAACGCUGGCGGCUGGCUUAACACAUGCAAGUCGAACGGAAAGGCCCUGCUGUUGUGGUGUGCGCUAGUGGCGAAAGUGUGAGUAACACUUGAUUAGCCUUCCCUUGACUUUGGGAUAACUUCAGUAAACUGGGGCUAGUACCGUAUAGGAUCUCCUGCUGCAUGGUGGGUGUUGGAAAGUUUCGGCGGUUGGGGAUGGACCGCCGGCGCCUCAGCUUGUUUGUGGGGUAGUGGCUUACCAAGUCUUUGGCGGGUAGCCGGCCUGACAGGGGGACCGGCUGCAUUGGGAUUGGGGAGAGGCGCAGCCUCCUACGGGAGGCAGCAGUGGGGAAUAUUACACAAUGGGCGGAAGCCUGAUGCAGAAACGCCGCGUGCGGGAUGAUGGCCUUCGGGUUGUAGACAGCCUUCGCCUGUGACGACGCGUGAGUGACGGUAAUGGGUAAAGAAGCACCGGCUCACUACGUG
RNAcentral lists this ribosomal RNA (468 nucleotides) under uncultured bacterium. RNAcentral's name for it is "partial 16S ribosomal RNA". It matches the Rfam family "Bacterial small subunit ribosomal RNA", at positions 29 to 507 of the family's 1533-position model. The record is from RNAcentral.